This is a long non-coding RNA of Pan troglodytes (chimpanzee), 1279 nucleotides long. RefSeq lists it as uncharacterized. Lineage: Eukaryota; Metazoa; Chordata; Mammalia; Primates; Hominidae. The record is from RefSeq and is a predicted model, not a curated record. The transcript is spliced from 3 exons.
ACCUGUCUCUAGUCCCCAGCUGAUUUCCAGAGGCCCUUCCAGCUCCUGUGUUGAUUCUUCUGCCUCGACUCACUUCUAGCAGACAAGUACCAUCCAGCUGACCCUGGUAGGCACGUGGCCACAUAAUACGGAUUGCAUGAGGGAAUCCAGAGGAAUUCUCACACACAAGGCAAGAUGUAUGAGGAUGUUGCUGCAGCAUCGUUACUAGUGUUGGAAAUAAGAUGUUCCCCCUUUUUCCUUCUGAUAUGAGAAGAUACCUGUUAGCCCUCAAGCUGCUCAGAUGAGGGACUUUCCUGCCAAGAACCAACGUGAAGAGUGUAGCUUCUAUAAAGGAUUUCACUGGAUUUUUGUACUAAUGAACAAAUUUUAUUUGGAUGAGUAGAUAUUUAAUGUGCUGUUAUUACCACUGGAGUUAAAAGUAUAUUAUAAAUUCUUAUGUCUUUAAAACUAGAGAGAGGAUUCUGGGAAAAUGGCAGAGUAGAAAGCACCAGGAAUCCGACUUCCCACCUAAACAACUGUUCUAGCAGCAUCUGUCUGACAUAACUAUUUUAAAACUUUGGGGUCUAUUGAAAGCUAGCAACUUCUAGGGGAAAAGUUGGACAGUAAGCUGCAGUUAAUUUCAGUGAAUUUCAGCACAGUAAUAGCCAAUAGUAGCCAAACCCUACUCCUCAGCCCUGUGUCAGGCAGCUGUGUAUGUGUUCCUGGAGCAGUUUGCACACAACUUGCUGGAAUCAAGGUUGAAAAAAAAAAAACUGUCCUCCAAAUAUUAGGGCUCUGAUUGCUGAUUGUUGCUUUACAAAGGUGCAGAAGAAGAAAUGACAGCCAUUGUUUUGUUGUUGCACCUUCCCCCCCAUUGUGGCAAACUCCACCUCCUCUGGCUGAAGCAACUUCCAGGGGAUUUAAACGAUUAGAGCCUUUUUCUGCCCUUCAUUUUUCUCUUUUUCUCCAUUUUUGGAAGCCAGACAUUGAAGGCUAUGACAUUCAAAACAACUGUGUAUACACUUGUUACAGAAGAUAUUAGAAAGUCACUGUGCGUGCCCAGGGACAGGCUCAGAAAAGACCCAAGAAGACUGUAAGCUUAUAUUUCAGGCUAAUCCUCAGCACAGAGACAGCCUAUAACAAUAAAAAAUAAAAAGCUAGUAAACCCUGGGGAAGGAAAAUAAUCUGAUUUUCAGAAUUACCAGAUUAUUAGAUUCAAAAGUCUAGUUUUCAACAACAACAACAACAACAAAAACAAAAACACAAGAGAUACAAAGAAACAAGCAAAUAUGGCCCAUUC